RNAcentral lists this ribosomal RNA (253 nucleotides) under uncultured bacterium. RNAcentral describes it as "partial 16S ribosomal RNA". It matches the Rfam family "Bacterial small subunit ribosomal RNA", at positions 524 to 776 of the family's 1533-position model. The record is from RNAcentral.
UACGUAGGGUGCAAGCGUUGUCCGGAAUUAUUGGGCGUAAAGAGCUCGUAGGCGGUCUGUCGCGUCGGCUGUGAAAACCCGGGGCUCAACCCCGGGCCUGCAGUCGAUACGGGCAGACUAGAGUGCGGUAGGGGAGACUGGAAUUCCUGGUGUAGCGGUGAAAUGCGCAGAUAUCAGGAGGAACACCCGUGGCUAAGGCGGCUCUCUAGUACGGUACUGACGCUGAGACGCGAAAGCGCGGGGAGCGAACAGG